AAAGGGUUGCCAAGCCGCGAGUGGAGCUAAUCCCAUAAAACCGAUCGUAGUCCGGAUCGCAGUCUGCAACUCGACUGCGUGAAGUCGGAAUCGCUAGUAAUCGUGAAUCAGAAUGUCACGGUGAAUACGUUCCCGGGCCUUGUACACACCGCCCGUCACACCAUGGGAGUGGGUUGCUCCAGAAGUAGCUAGUCUAACCGCAAGGGGGGACGGUUACCACGGAGUGUUCAUGACUGGGGUGAAGUCGUAACAAGGUAGCCGUAGGGNAACCUGCGGUUGGAUC
This 283-nucleotide ribosomal RNA is filed under the name Pseudomonas aeruginosa. Its description in RNAcentral is "partial 16S ribosomal RNA". It matches the Rfam family "Bacterial small subunit ribosomal RNA", at positions 1241 to 1524 of the family's 1533-position model. The record is from RNAcentral. Lineage: Bacteria; Pseudomonadati; Pseudomonadota; Gammaproteobacteria; Pseudomonadales; Pseudomonadaceae.